UCUCAGGAGAGGCCACAAGGCAUGGAGGAGAGCCAGAUCUGAGGCCGGAGGGCCGACGCAGCCUGCGCAUGGGGGCUGUGUUCCCCAGAGCACCCACUGCCAACACAGCCUCUACAGAAGGUCUUCCUGCUAAGGUCAGUGCCCAGAGGGGCAAGCAGGGUGGGGGCACCAAGCAGUUCUGCCAGGCUGAAUGGGCACUGUGGGGACACUCCACGUGCAUCGUGGCUAGCAGGCACAAUUGGGGUGGAGGUGGUGGCGAUGAGCUUGCCUGCCGCCAUAGAUUGGCUGGGACUCGGAGGUCACUGUUGCCUGGCUCAGCCCCUUGUCUUUCCUGACCCCUCAGGGAUGGGGCAUGGGGCCCUGGGAGGCCUUGGGUAAUGGCUGUCCCCCUCCCCAGCCCGGCUCACACACGCUGCGCCCCCGGAGCUUCCCAUCCCCGACCAAGUGUCUCCGC
RNAcentral lists this long non-coding RNA (454 nucleotides) under Homo sapiens (human). Its description in RNAcentral is "non-protein coding lnc-EHD1-4:1". The record is from RNAcentral. Lineage: Eukaryota; Metazoa; Chordata; Mammalia; Primates; Hominidae.